This 276-nucleotide long non-coding RNA is filed under the name Lathyrus oleraceus (garden pea). RNAcentral describes it as "Pisum sativum (pea) long non-coding RNA (PSAT_LNC031946)". The record is from RNAcentral. Lineage: Eukaryota; Viridiplantae; Streptophyta; Magnoliopsida; Fabales; Fabaceae.
AAUUACUCUUUUCUUUGAUGUAUUGUCAAAAAUUAGCAUGUUUAAAUGGAUUUAUUUAAUAUCUAGUAUAAAUUUAUUUUAUUUUAUUAACUAAUUCAUUUCUUUUGUAUUAAUAUUCAAAAACAUAAAAAAAAAAAAUAGAAACUCCAACGUCUCUCUUCCAUGCGUCCAUCCAUUACCUCACUCUCUCCCCACUCAUAACUACCUCACUCUCUCUCUCUCAAAUCUGAAGAAAAUCUCACGCUACAUAUUCCUGACCCCACUCAAUUCACCAUC